UUGUUCUAGGCAAGACACAUGCUUUUUUUUCUCUUCCUUCCUUCUUCCUUCUUCCCUGCCACCUUUAUUCCUUUUUUGGUUUAUCUUAGAAAUGAUUUAAGGCAACAUGGGCCCUUGAUCUGUGAGGAGGUGAGGCAGGACUGUUACUCUGUUCUGUGGAAUUCUAGAAACUUAUUUUGGGACUUUGGAGGUAUUCGCUUUUUCCUAAGCUCUCAGAAUCAUUUUUGAGAAGCAGCCGAUGCUGCUAGCCAGAACAGCUGUGAGAAGCGCAGCGUCUAGGAUGGCCUCUUUGCCGACACCCUGGGAUGGGUGCAUGCUUCCUCAUGUUUUAGAGAGAACUGAGGCUCUCAGCUCUCCCUGUGUGCUGGGAUGCCGUCUGUGACUUGCCUGAGAAAAUACCUAUGGAAUGAGUGUGAGGGCCUCAUGAGGUCACGUCCACGAAAGCACUGGGAGCUCGUCAGAGGAGAAGGGCACUCUGAGGCCACAUAGUCGGUAAUCAGACUUCCCUUUGGUCCACAUCUCUGCCCUGGCUGCCAGGAUUCACAGUGUGCAGAGGGACUGGGCCGUUGCUCCAGCCGCUCCAGCAGGUUAGCAGGCUCUGUGCCACUGUCCCCAGAGAAGUCUCCCUGAGUGGGGUCUGUGGGCUCUUCUCUCGGUCCCACCUUCAACACC
Molecule: long non-coding RNA, 672 nt
Filed under: Homo sapiens (human)
Lineage: Eukaryota; Metazoa; Chordata; Mammalia; Primates; Hominidae
Description: non-protein coding lnc-PEX26-5:1
Source: RNAcentral